ACCGUCAAUAGAAUAAGGGAAAUCAUCAGAAGACGGUUCUUCAGUAAAGGAGGGACCUAAAAUGAAUCUAGUAGGGUCCAAAAGAGAUAUGGUUUAAGCAAGGUAUAAUCCAGCGAUGGACGAUAAGGUAAAGGCGGAAGCGGCGCCAUUGCUAUGAAGUGAAAAAGAUGCUAAGGAUAGAAAAGAAUAAGAAAGUGAGCCUAAGCUGUGGACUAGAGAUGGAAAAGAGGUCAGAGAAAACGAGGAGAAGGAAAGAGAAGGCGAAGAAGACGAGGCCUGAGUUAAAAAAGGAACGAGGGAAGAAUAAGCUUGGCGAAGAAUAAAAGGAGCCGUCGCGUCGAAAUCGCUUCCCAAGAGCGGCUAGAAUGAUGAAAAAACGGCGGCAAUUAAGAUGACCUAAUUAAUGCCACAUAUAAGACAAAAGGAGAUGGCAGAAUCUAGCUGUGGAAACGAAAUGGACGGCUGAAGCGAAACCGUACAGAGAAUUCGAAAUUGAUUAUAUCGAGAGCCACGCCACGGAUCACGCUAGUUAUCGAAACGAUGGCGAGAUCGUGGCCGUAGAAAAGAAGUGGACGGCUGAGGCGAAACCGUACAAAGAAUUUGAAAUUAAUUGGACCGACAGUUGCGCCUCGGAUUACG
This 639-nucleotide long non-coding RNA is filed under the name Ananas comosus (pineapple). Its description in RNAcentral is "long non-coding RNA (ACOM_LNC016441)". The record is from RNAcentral. Lineage: Eukaryota; Viridiplantae; Streptophyta; Magnoliopsida; Poales; Bromeliaceae.